UGUUUGUUAGGCUCCCCUUGCCUCCCGCGGGGGAAGUCCGGUGAGAGUCCGGCGCUGACCCGCAACGGUGUGCGCGGCGACCCUGUGGUCCGUCGCGUGAGCCCGAUCGCCUGCGGGGUGCAGCGACCCGUU
Molecule: non-coding RNA, 132 nt
Filed under: Streptomyces sp.
Lineage: Bacteria; Bacillati; Actinomycetota; Actinomycetes; Kitasatosporales; Streptomycetaceae
Source: RNAcentral